Molecule: ribosomal RNA, 119 nt
Filed under: Triticum aestivum (bread wheat)
Lineage: Eukaryota; Viridiplantae; Streptophyta; Magnoliopsida; Poales; Poaceae
Also listed under: 1 other name
Source: RNAcentral
GGAUGCGAUCAUACCAGCACUAAAGCACCGGAUCCCAUCAGAACUCCGAAGUUAAGCGUGCUUGGGCGAGAGUAGUACUAGGAUGGGUGACCUCCUGGGAAGUCCUCGUAUUGCAUUCC